GACACGGCCCAGACUCCUACGGGAGGCAGCAGUAGGGAAUCUUCCGCAAUGGACGAAAGUCUGACGGAGCAACGCCGCGUGAGUGAUGAAGGUUUUCGGAUCGUAAAGCUCUGUUGUUAGGGAAGAACAAGUACCGUUCGAAUAGGGCGGUACCUUGACGGUACCUAACCAGAAAGCCACGGCUAACUACGUGCCAGCAGCCGCGGUAAUACGUAGGUGGCAAGCGUUGUCCGGAAUUAUUGGGCGUAAAGGGCUCGCAGGCGGUUCCUUAAGUCUGAUGUGAAAGCCCCCGGCUCAACCGGGGAGGGUCAUUGGAAACUGGGGAACUUGAGUGCAGAAGAGGAGAGUGGAAUUCCACGUGUAGCGGUGAAAUGCGUAGAGAUGUGGAGGAACACCAGUGGCGAAGGCGACUCUCUGGUCUGUAACUGACGCUGAGGAGCGAAAGCGUGGGGAGCGAACAGGAUUAGAUACCCUGGUAGUCCACGCCGUAAACGAUGAGUGCUAAGUGUUAGGGGGUUUCCGCCCCUUAGUGCUGCAGCUAACGCAUUAAGCACUCCGCCUGGGGAGUACGGUCGCAAGACUGAAACUCAAAGGAAUUGACGGGGGCCCGCACAAGCGGUGGAGCAUGUGGUUUAAUUCGAAGCAACGCGAAGAACCUUACCAGGUCUUGACAUCCUCUGACAAUCCUAGAGAUAGGACGUCCCCUUCGGGGGCAGAGUGACAGGUGGUGCAUGGUUGUCGUCAGCUCGUGUCGUGAGAUGUUGGGUUAAGUCCCGCAACGAGCGCAACCCUUGAUCUUAGUUGCCAGCAUUCAGUUGGGCACUCUAAGGUGACUGCCGGUGACAAACCGGAGGAAGGUGGGGAUGACGUCA
RNAcentral lists this ribosomal RNA (872 nucleotides) under Bacillus subtilis. RNAcentral's name for it is "bacterial SSU rRNA". It matches the Rfam family "Bacterial small subunit ribosomal RNA", at positions 323 to 1187 of the family's 1533-position model. Lineage: Bacteria; Bacillati; Bacillota; Bacilli; Caryophanales; Bacillaceae. The record is from RNAcentral.